CCAGCUCCAAUAGCGUAUAUUAAAGUUGUUGCAGUUAAAAAGCUCGUAGUUGGACUUUAGGCGGAGACGGUGUGGAGCCGAUUCGUCGGCCUCUGCAUGGUCCUGCCUCACCCGCGGGGACCGGUCGGGCUCGCUCGGCCGUGAUCCGCAACUUACUUUGAGGAAAUUAGAGUGUUCAAAGCAGGCUAACGCUUGAAUACUUCAGCAUGGAAUAACAAGAUAGGACUUUGGUUCUAUUUUGUUGGUUUGAGGACCAAAGUAAUGAUUAAUAGGGACAGUUGGGGGCAUUAGUAUUCAGUAGUCAGAGGUGAAAUUCUUGGAUUUACUGAAGACUAACUAAUGCGAAAGCAUUUGCCAAGGAUGUUUUCA
Molecule: ribosomal RNA, 369 nt
Filed under: uncultured Rozellomycota
Lineage: Eukaryota; Fungi; Rozellomycota
Description: SSU rRNA
Rfam family: Eukaryotic small subunit ribosomal RNA
Source: RNAcentral